CCGUCACCAGCCUCCUCCCCGGACCCCCAAUGGGCCGGCGACCCCCGUCCCCGGUCCGCCAUGAAAGUGAUCCAGGGGGUCCACAGUCGGGUGCAGCGUUCCUGUGUUCCCCGGAGCUCUGCCGUGAGGGUCUCCAUCUUGUAUAUCUCGUCUAUCUUAUCUAGCCAUUGAGAUAGCGUGGGGACAUCGGUCGACUUCCAUCUGGCAGGGAUCAGGCUCUUGGCGGCGUUGAGGAAGUGCCGAAUUAGAGAUUUUUUGUAGCGUGAUAUUGGCAUUUGCGUAUGGUUGAGUAACAUGGGCAAGGGCUCCAUGGGGAUGUCUUCUUCAAGGAUUUCCAAGAGUUUGUCAUGUACCUGUUGCCAGUAACCUGUGAUCCGGGGGCAUGCCCACCAGACAUGCAGGUCUGUACCUUCAGCGGCUCUACAUCGCCAGCAUGAGUCGUCAGUUGCUAGUCCCAUGGACCGCAGUUUGGACGGAGUCCUGUACCAGCAGGUCAGGACUUUGUAGUUAAGUUCUCUCAUUUUGGUACUUAGGAUCCCCUGGUGCGUGAGAAUGUGAACCUUCUCCCAUUGCUGGUCCGUCAGGGCGACCCCUGUUGCUUGUUCCCACCUGGCGUGGAAGUGAGCUGGCGCUCCCUGGUCAGCAGCCAGGAGCAUUGCGUAGAGCAUCGAUAUCCCGCGGGUCAGGUGUUCUUCACUGGAACAGUAAGUCUCAAAUUGCGUGGGGUCUCUGUGCAGUAACUGUCUCCCUUGGAGGGUGGCGUAGUAAUGCUUAACUUGUUGGUAACGGAAGUGAAGCAGGCCCGUGGGUCUGGAUUGUGCUGUCAGAGCGGUGUAGGUUUUCAUCCCUGUCCUGGUACACCACUCCCGGAGGAGCCGGGCCCCCCCCUCCCCAAUGCCAGUCACGUCUUGCGUUCGCAGCCCAUCAGCCAGGUCGGGGUUGUAUACAACCGGUGUUAAGGGCGCGGGGAAGGUCGUGAGCUGCAAUUUAUAGCGGAUGUUCGACCAUAUCCUCAGCGUCGCCCCAAUGAAGGGGUGGCGACUGAGUUCCUGGUCUCGCAUCGGAACCCGCGUCCAGACCACCGGCGGGAUCCGUCCCCGCGCCCACGUCCGCUCCAGCUGAACCCACUGUUUGUCCGUGGCUGACACAUGCCAAUCGAUGAUGCGGGAGAGGUGGGAGGCCUGGUAGUAUCCCUUGAUAUGUGGCAAUCCUGUGCCUCCACGGUGCUUCGGGAGGAUGAGCUGCGCCCUCCUCACCCUCGGUGGGCCCGUCGACCAUAUGAAUUUCAGAAUCGCGGAGUCCAGGGAUCGGAAGAAGGCCUGCGGCAGAGCUAUUGGGACGGUCUGGAACAGGUACAGCAGGCGUGGCAGCAGGUUCAUCUUCACUGCGUUUAUCCGACCAAACCAAGACACGCAGAGCUUCCCCCAGCGCAUCAGGUCCGCUUGGAGUGUGCGGAGGAUGGGGAGGAAGUUUUCCUGGUAGAGCUGGGUUAGGUCCCUCGUCAACCAGAUCCCUAGGUAUUUUAGUCGGCGCGGGCACCACCGGAAGGGGAAGCGAGCCUGCAAGAGUUCCCCCAGCUGACGUGUCAGAGAUAUAGGAAGAGCUUCCGACUUCGUCGCGUUGAGUUUCAAGUUGGAGAGGGCUCCGAACGCUUCGAAUGCCAAGAGUAGAUUAGGGAUCGUGACCAGUGGGCUUCCCAUGAAGAAUAGGAGGUCAUCCGCAUAGGCCGCCACCUUAUGUUCCCGGCCGCCUUGGGUGAGCCCCGUUAUUCCCCCAUCCCGUCUGACCGCCUCCAGAAAAGGUUCCAGAGAGAGGGCAAACAGAAGGGGGGACAGGGGGCAUCCCUGCCGGGUCCCGUUUUUUAUCUCAAAUGUCGGGGAGAGGACUCCGUUGAUCCGAAGCUGGGCCGUCGGGGUCGUGUAGAGCGCUGCAAUCCAGCGCAGGAUGUUAGGGCCGAAGCCCAUCUUCCGGAGCGUGGCUUGAAGGAAGUGCCAGUCCACCCUGUCAAAGGCCUUCUCAGCGUCGGUAGAGAGGAGAAGGCUACCCCGCUCAGAGCGCUGUUGUGUGUGCAGGAUGUUGAGAGCCCUGACCGUGUUGUCCCUAGCUUCUCUCCCCGGGAUGAAGCCAGUUUGAUCCGGGUGAACCAGCGUAGAGAUCAGGCGGCCUAUGCGGUUCGCUAGGACCUUCGUAAAAAGUUUUAGAUCAGAGUUGAGUAGCGAGAUCGGUCUAUAGCUGGAGCAUUCGGCUGGGUCCUUGCCUUCCUUGGGAAUAACCGUUAUGGUUGCCAGGAGGGUGUCCCCCUGAAACCGUCCUUCUUCCAGUAGCGAAUUCAGGCCCGACAAUAGUUCCGGUAGUAGGAUCUCUCCGAAUGCCUUAAGGUAGCGUGGGGGGAGCCCAUCAGGUCCCGGGGCCUUAUCGAGGGGGGUGUUUUUUAGGGCCCCCUGUAGCUCCUCAAGCGUAAUGGGGGAUUCGAGUUCCUCCCUUUGUUCGCGUGUGAGAAUCCGGGUGACAUGUUGGUCUAAGUAGGCUUGAGUCUUCGUUUGUCUCCUGUGCGUCUCCUCGGUUGUCCUGUCCGGUGCAAUGUUGUAGAGUUUGGCAUAGUAAUCUCGGAAUUCCCCGACUAUCUUGUCAGGUACUUGUGUAAUGAGACCGUUAUGCGACCUGAUUUUAGUUAUAUGGCUCUGGCGGCGUUUCUGCUGCAACAUUCUGGCGAGCAGUCGGCCACACUUAUUGGAAAACUCGUAGAAGUGGCGAUUGGAUUUCCGCAGUGAGUGUGAGAGUUGUUUAGACAGUUGGUGUUGUAGUGCCCGUCGUGCGUCUAAUAGAGCCCUGUAUACUUCCUCCGAGUCUGUAGCUUUGUGGUCUUGGUCUAACUGGGCGACCCGCGCAUGGAGGUCCGUUAGGAGCCUGCGCGACUCCUUCUUUCGCGCUGUGCCAACCUUGAUGAAAUGUCCCCGGAUUACGCACUUGUGUGCUUCCCAGCGGGUCAGGUGUGACGUCUCUGUGGCAUCAUUUUCAUUGAAAUAUUGGCGGAGAACCGUCUUGGCAUCCGCCAGGGUGACUGCAUCUGCUAGCAGUUGGUCAUUUAGCUUCCAUUGCCGGCGUGUGGGCUUGUGCAGGGGGGACGCCAUGACGGCCAGAACCGGGGAGUGAUCAGACCAUGUGGCCGGAAGGAUCUCACAUGAGUGCAACAGGUGGAGGUACUCUUGAGAGACAAAAAUGUAGUCUAGUCUGCUGUGUCCCCGGUGUACUGGGGAAUAGUAGGAAUAAUCUCUCGUGUCUGGGUGAAGGACCCUCCAGCCGUCCGCGAGCCCUGCUGUUCGAAGUGCCGUCUGGGAGACCCGAAGGCAGGUUGCCGACAGUGAGCUGCCCCCCCUCGAGGUGUCCAUGCGGGGGUCCAUGGGGAUGUUAAGGUCACCCGCGAGGAUUAGGAGCCCCUCCCUGAAACCCUCAAGCAGCCGUGCUAUUUUCGCGAGGAAGCGAUGUUGUUUGGUAUUAGGUGCAUACACAGAGGCGAAGGUGUAUCGCCGGUCUGCUAUCGUGCCUUUAAUAAAUAGGUAGCGUCCGUUCGGGUCGGCCAGUUCCUCCAGGCAGUUGAAGGGCACGGUGCUGGCGAAGAGGAUAGCCACUCCUGCUUUCUUGGCGUCUCCGUGGUUGGCGAAGAACCCCGUGGGGAACCUCCGAUCCCGGAGGGCCGGAGCCUCUUUCCCCUGAAAAUGGGUCUCCUGGAGGAAUGCGACCGAUGCCCGAGCCGCCCACAGGGCUCUCAGCAGAUGUGACCUCCGUUCCGGCGUAUUUAGACCCCUGACAUUGUUGGACCAAAGACGAAGGGGCGCCUGGGCGAACCCCCCAGUUCCCUGGGCGGACAUGGAGGCCAGAGCGGCGUCCCGGGGGCCGAGGGGGGAAGCGCG
Non-coding RNA from Pelobates cultripes (western spadefoot toad), 3911 nucleotides. Lineage: Eukaryota; Metazoa; Chordata; Amphibia; Anura; Pelobatidae. The record is from the annotation of a GenBank genome assembly.